This 916-nucleotide ribosomal RNA is filed under the name uncultured bacterium. RNAcentral describes it as "bacterial SSU rRNA". It matches the Rfam family "Bacterial small subunit ribosomal RNA", at positions 8 to 916 of the family's 1533-position model. The record is from RNAcentral.
AGAGUUUGAUCCUGGCUCAGGAUGAACGAUAGCUACAGGCUUAACACAUGCAAGUCGAGGGGCAGCGGGAUUGAAGCUUGCUUCAAUUGCCGGCGACCGGCGCACGGGUGAGUAACGCGUAUCCAACCUUCCGUACACUCAGGGAUAGCCUUUCGAAAGAAAGAUUAAUACCUGAUGGUAUGAUGAGAUUGCAUGGUAUCAUCAUUAAAGAUUUAUCGGUGUACGAUGGGGAUGCGUUCCAUUAGGUAGUAGGCGGGGUAACGGCCCACCUAGCCAACGAUGGAUAGGGGUUCUGAGAGGAAGGUCCCCCACAUUGGAACUGAGACACGGUCCAAACUCCUACGGGAGGCAGCAGUGAGGAAUAUUGGUCAAUGGACGAGAGUCUGAACCAGCCAAGUAGCGUGAAGGAUGAAGGUCCUACGGAUUGUAAACUUCUUUUAUAAGGGAAUAAACCCUCCCACGUGUGGGAGCUUGUAUGUACCUUAUGAAUAAGCAUCGGCUAACUCCGUGCCAGCAGCCGCGGUAAUACGGAGGAUGCGAGCGUUAUCCGGAUUUAUUGGGUUUAAAGGGAGCGCAGACGGGUCGUUAAGUCAGCUGUGAAAGUUUGGGGCUCAACCUUAAAAUUGCAGUUGAUACUGGCGUCCUUGAGUGCGGUUGAGGUGUGCGGAAUUCGUGGUGUAGCGGUGAAAUGCUUAGAUAUCACGAAGAACUCCGAUUGCGAAGGCAGCACACUAAUCCGUAACUGACGUUCAUGCUCGAAAGUGUGGGUAUCAAACAGGAUUAGAUACCCUGGUAGUCCACACGGUAAACGAUGGAUACUCGCUGUUGGCGAUAUACUGUCAGCGGCUUAGCGAAAGCGUUAAGUAUCCCACCUGGGGAGUACGCCGGCAACGGUGAAACUCAAAUGAAUUGACGG